This is a long non-coding RNA of Nylanderia fulva, 1151 nucleotides long. RefSeq lists it as uncharacterized. NCBI's taxonomy places the organism in Eukaryota, Metazoa, Arthropoda, Insecta, Hymenoptera, Formicidae. The record is from RefSeq and is a predicted model, not a curated record.
AUUUUUGAACAUAAUCCAGCGUAUUUUGAGGUUACGCUUUAUUUGUUGAUACUUGCAUGGACAGGUUUAUAUUUUACUGAAAUUUAUUUCUUCGCUCGAAUAUAAUUCGCAAACAAAAAGGAACAAGAAAACCUCUCGUCGACGAAAAUGUCAAUGAUAUGGAAAGAUGACAUGGACUUGAAUGUUGUGACGGAUUUGAAAUAUAUAUGGAGAGAGAAUCAAGAGAAAACUAUUAAGAGAUAAAGUGGAAACAAUGCACCAUUGAAAAUUUUGGUAACGAUGAUGAACAUCAGUAAAAUCUAUAAAUAUAAAAGGAAAAAUUAUCAAAAAUAUGGCAAACAAACGUUUGAUGAGGAAUUUUCUAUGUGUAUGUUACAUGACAGAAGCAAAAAAUGUUUAGCAUUCUUUCUUAUAAACCAAUUGAAAGUGGAACAUAUCCUAAUUGAGCUUCAAUUAGAAUUAAAUAUGACGUUUUAUUAAAUUAUUGUAUUAGUGUCUUUUUGCUUGACAUACUGAAAGAGAAGCCAGCAAAACUGUAUUCAGUUACAGAGCAUUUAAUACAGUAUCGUAAACUGUUCGACCAAUUGCAAUUGGAACAAGGAAAUUUAUAGAAGCAAAUGGCAGACAUAGUUAAUGUGAUUAAGGAGGGUAAAUCUCUAUUGUAUAUCAAAUGGUUCUCAAAUACUUUAUAAGAAUAUUCCAAAAAGAAGCAGUUAAAUAAAAACAUUAGCACCUCAGAAAGAAAUGGAAGACAAGAGCUUGUUAUCAGAUAGUAUGGAAAAUGAUUUAAAGGAAAUGUCAUGAUAGCAAAGCUAUAUAUAAUGGAAAGGAUACCACAAACAUAGAUCUUACGAAUAAAAAGGAAAAAAGAACGAUAACUAAAUAACAAAGAAUAGAGAUCUUAUGCUUCAUCGGAAGAAGGAAUUACACAAUCUUGGUGUGAAACAGAAAUAAAUAUUGUAAAGCUAUAUAAUCCACAGGUAGGAUAAAAGAAGUGAAAAAGAAAUUGACAUAUUACGAAGAAAAGAUCUGAGGUAUCAACAUUGAUGUGAAAAGGAGUAUUAAAUUAAAAUAAUGAUAAAAAAUUUGAAAAGAUUCUAAUUUUGUAGUAUCAAUAGAAAUAAAUUAAUCUUGUUUGAUUUACUAAGAAA